Molecule: long non-coding RNA, 574 nt
Filed under: Prunus persica (peach)
Lineage: Eukaryota; Viridiplantae; Streptophyta; Magnoliopsida; Rosales; Rosaceae
Description: long non-coding RNA (PPER_LNC002172)
Source: RNAcentral
GAGAUGUCACAUUCCAUGAAACAAUAUUCUCAUUUUCUACUCUACCCCAAGACAUACAAACCAACUACCUAGACCCCUCAGUCCAACCUUUGCCUUUACCAAAUGUCACAUAUCAACCCACACUCACCAAUCCCUCAAACAUGGCACACGUACCAACAGACCCAACACCAAUACCUUCCUCACCAAAUAUUACAAAAUCAUCUCACACUCAGCCCAACCAAUCCCAUGACAACAUCCAGCCCAACCCAACUACUCCAUCUUCACAAAAUAACACCACGUUAACCUUGCCGUCACCACCCUCUACUCAACUACCACCUCCUGAACCUAUACACACUACAAUCGACACACCCAUGCCAUCAACAGUGACCACUCCACCUGUCGUUCCAUGACAAAGUCAACGUGAACGCCACCCACCACCACACCUCCAAGAUUACCACUGCUCCAAUGCCACCGUGCUUUCCUCCGAGUCGUCGUAUUCUAGUCAAUGUACUCAUCAUCCUUUAUCCAAUUUUGUUUCUUAUGAUCAUUUAUCUACCCCUCACCGUUGUUUUAUCACUAGUGUAUCGACUCUUGA